AACAAACGCUGGCGGCGUGCCUAAUACAUGCAAGUCGAACGAAUGUAGCAAUACAUGAGUGGCGUACGGGUGAGUAACACGUGGAUAAUCUUCCUUUAAGUGGGGAAUAACCAAUCGAAAGAUUGGCUAAUACCGCAUAAGACCACAGUUUCUUCGGAGACAGGGGUUAAAGGCUUCGGCCGCUUUUAGAUGAGUCUGCGUCCGAUUAGCUAGUUGGUGAGGUAAUGGCUCACCAAGGCGACGAUCGGUAACUGGUCUGAGAGGAUGACCAGUCACACUGGGACUGAGACACGGCCCAGACUCCUACGGGAGGCAGCAGUAGGGAAUAUUGCACAAUGGAGGAAACUCUGAUGCAGCGACGCCGCGUGAGUGAUGAAGGCCUUCGGGUUGUAAAGCUCUGUUCUCAGGGAAUAAUAAAUUGAAGGUACCUGAGAAGAAAGGACCGGCUAACUUCGUGCCAGCCGCCGCGGUAA
This 473-nucleotide ribosomal RNA is filed under the name uncultured bacterium. RNAcentral describes it as "partial 16S ribosomal RNA". It matches the Rfam family "Bacterial small subunit ribosomal RNA", at positions 29 to 523 of the family's 1533-position model. The record is from RNAcentral.